ACUGAAUCUGUCACACCGUAGAGAGGCAGGAGCCGCCAUGAAGGCCUUUUAUCAGAUCCGGCUUCCCUGCAGUGCAUAAAACGCAUUUGUGUUGUCUGGUGAAUAAAUCUGGCAGGCUCAUUUGAGUAUUUAAGGAUGAUUAGUUUACGCUGCAGCAGUCAUGGCUGUCUUUAACAGGUCUGCCAGAGGUAUCAAGGACUGGUAGCAGGCCAAAGGGAGACAGCAUUACUCAGCUGAAAGCCUCCCUCUGCAGUCUCCCAGCUGCUGCUGCUGCUGCUGCUGCUCCGGAGCCAGAGAGGAGAGUCCCCUCGCCCCCCUGCACAGACAGAGACAAAAGGCCUGAUUCGCCUGCUGAACACUGCCCCCUUUCUCUAUCCGUCCCUGCAUGCACGGCCGUAGGGUGGUGGCUUCAGGAAAAAAAAAAAGCUAGGCCCGGACUAAAGGCUAAAAUCUAGGACUGACCCAGUGAAGGAGAGUGGGAAGAGGGGGGAGGGGUGGAGGAGGAUGGGGACUGGAAUGGUUGGGGCUGAGUAAAAGCAGGUGCUGAGGCCUCUGCAGGAGAAGAUUUUUUUCUUUUUUCCUGAAUAUCUCAGUGGGAAACAAUCUGACGAGGGUAUGCCACGUUUACCUCUGUCUAUGCAUGAACGUGCAUGUCUGUGUUACUGUGUGUCUCUGUGGUGACAUAUGCGGGCCCGGGGUGGCCAUGUCUUCGAAGGCAAUCCGGGUGCAUGAAUUGCCUGUGUUUCCCCACUGCAGAUUCUCUGUCCUGGAUGUAAUGCUGCUGCUGAUGAACGUUUGAAAACAAACCAGUGUGUCUGGGCUGAAAGCACUGAGGAGGAAACAGGCCAAGGUAGCGGACUGCGCUUCUCCUCCCAUCGUGGUUACCUCAUUCCGCCUCAUCAUUUCCAUGUGUUGAGUGUGCUAUUCCUCUCGCCCAGAGGGGUGAAUCUCAUUCAAAUACUGUGCUCCGGUUUCAAUAAAUCUUUAACAAGGUACAUGUCGUCUGCUGAAAAAAAAAGCUUGCAGUGUUUCCAGGGAGGUGGGCACACCGCUUCUGGCCGUGUGUUUCUGAGGCCGUACUGCAGCACGGGGCUUUGUGUUGGGCGACCGGAACCAGAUGAAACCGGUUUGAGGGAGACAGAGGGCUGACAGGAACAAUGCCGUCUCUGUGCUCCACCGAGGGAAGACGUAUCCCAGGCGAUCCCCAUUGCAGCCCUCCGCAGCUCUGCCUCUGGCGAACCAGGCAACAGACAGGGACGCUGCCGCGCGCUCGCUGGCUGCUGGCUGGAUGUCGGCGUGCAGAGGGGGGGGCAGGGAGAUUUGAGAA
Long non-coding RNA from Gasterosteus aculeatus aculeatus (three-spined stickleback), 1327 nucleotides. The record is from Ensembl. NCBI's taxonomy places the organism in Eukaryota, Metazoa, Chordata, Actinopteri, Perciformes, Gasterosteidae.